UGAGAGUUCAAUGAUUAUCGCCAGACUAUUGAUAUAGGAAAUAAAAAUUCUGUAAUUGUUUUCAUUUAAGCUGUACGUAUUGUUGAUGGAUUGAUGAUAGCCAGGGUCAUGAAACAAUUUUAUUGCUCUGAUAAAUUAUGUCUUAUUUACAACAGAGAUCUGGUGGUGCAUACUGAUGUUAUUGUAUGGUAGGCAGCACGUAGAGGCUAUCUCAAUUAUUUAGUUUAUAACAGACCAUCGUAACAUCAUCAGUCAUUUGACUUCGACAUCAUCUUCUGUACAGAAAUAAUAUCUCUCCAGUAUACCUACAGGAAGGAAAGAAAUAUGAAGUUCAGCUACUUAAUAUUUGCAGUUCUUUUAUUCUGCAUGAUGGCAUUCAAUCAUUUUGUUUCUGGGGCCCCCAGGGAUCUGGGCGUAGGAGGAACAGGACACCACGUUCUGUGUAGGCAGCCGCCUUGCGACAUGAGACCCCCCUACGACCGCCAAGACGGGACCAGAUUCUAAGAGAUGGAAUACAGGCCGCGUCUGAAAUCAAAUAAUUUGAUACACAUCUAAAUUCUGCUUUUUAUAAAUCUCAAUAUUAAUAAUGGAGGUUCAACAUCUUUUGUAAUGUAAAUGAAUUAUAUUUUAAUGCACUGACCAACUAUUGUAAACUAUAAAAUAAUAUGAUUGAUUCAUAAAUUAAUUAAUUCAUAAA
Nilaparvata lugens (brown planthopper) is the source of this 697-nucleotide long non-coding RNA. RefSeq lists it as uncharacterized. The transcript is spliced from 3 exons. NCBI's taxonomy places the organism in Eukaryota, Metazoa, Arthropoda, Insecta, Hemiptera, Delphacidae. The record is from RefSeq and is a predicted model, not a curated record.